UGUGCAGGAUGGGUACUGUACAAACUCUAGAGAGUGCCAUGCAAAUAAUGGCUUAUGUAAAUGGCAUUCCAAGGAUUUGUGCAGCACCCAACCUGCAU
This 98-nucleotide microRNA precursor is filed under the name Marmota monax (woodchuck). Lineage: Eukaryota; Metazoa; Chordata; Mammalia; Rodentia; Sciuridae. The record is from RNAcentral.